AUCGAACGCUGGCGGCAGGCUUAACACAUGCAAGUCGAGCGAGCGGCGGACGGGAGAGUAAUGUCUGGGAAACUGCCUGAUGGAGGGGGAUAACUUCUGGAAACGGUAGCUAAUACCGCAUACCAUCAUAUGUGCCCAGAUGGGCUUAGCUAGUAGGUGGGGUAAUGGCUCACCUAGGCGACGAUCCCUAGCUGGUCUGAGAGGAUGACGGGCCACACUGGAACUAAGACACGGUCCAAACGCCUACGGGAGGCAGCGGUGGGGAAUAUUGCACAAGGGGCGCAAGCCUAAUGCAGCCAUGCCGCGUGUGUAAGGAAGGCCUUCGGGUUGAAAAGCACUUUCGGCGAGGAGGCGUUACUCACAGAGAAAGCACCGGCUAACUACGUGCCAGCAGCCGCGGUAAUAC
This 406-nucleotide ribosomal RNA is filed under the name uncultured bacterium. Its description in RNAcentral is "partial 16S ribosomal RNA". It matches the Rfam family "Bacterial small subunit ribosomal RNA", at positions 30 to 526 of the family's 1533-position model. The record is from RNAcentral.